This 402-nucleotide ribosomal RNA is filed under the name Anodonthyla eximia. RNAcentral's name for it is "partial 16S ribosomal RNA". It matches the Rfam family "Bacterial large subunit ribosomal RNA", at positions 1966 to 2543 of the family's 2925-position model. Lineage: Eukaryota; Metazoa; Chordata; Amphibia; Anura; Microhylidae. The record is from RNAcentral.
CACUUGUUCUUUAAAUCAGGACUAGUAUGAACGGCCUCACGAGGGCUGUACUGUCUCCCCCCCUUAAUCAGUAAAACUGAUCUCCCCGUGAAGAAGCRGGGAUACACAUAUAAGACGAGAAGACCCCAUGGAGCUUCAAACUCACACCACCGCCUUCCCCACACCAAAAUACUUAGGCCCCCUGGUAGUYAGUCUUUCGGCUGGGGCGACCGCGGAGAAAAACAAAACCUCCMUGAUGAAAGGACACCCUAAUUUAANNNNCACUGCUCCAAAAAUCAACAAAUUGACGUAAUUGACCCAAUAUUUGAUCAACGAACCAAGUUACCCUGGGGAUAACAGCGCAAUCCACUUCGAGAGACCCUAUCAACAAGUGGGCUUACGACCUCGAUGUUGGAUCAGGGU